GGAGGGGUGACCGAGUGGACGAUGGUAACGGUCUUGAAAACCGUCGUCGCGCAAGCGACCGCAGGUUCGAAUCCUGUCCCCUCCGCCA
RNAcentral lists this transfer RNA (88 nucleotides) under Dehalococcoidia bacterium. RNAcentral describes it as "tRNA-Ser". It matches the Rfam family "tRNA". Rfam says of the family: Transfer RNA (tRNA) molecules are approximately 80 nucleotides in length. Their secondary structure includes four short double-helical elements and three loops (D, anti-codon, and T loops). Lineage: Bacteria; Bacillati; Chloroflexota; Dehalococcoidia. The record is from RNAcentral.